CGUUGCUCGGAAUCACUGGGCGUAAAGCGCACGUAGGCGGAUUGUUAAGUCAGGGGGGAAAUCCUGGAGCUCAACUCCAGAACUGCCUUUGAUACUGGCGAUCUUGAGUCCGGGAGAGGUGAGUGGAACUGCGAGUGUAGAGGUGAAAUUCGUAGAUAUUCGCAAGAACACCAGUGGCGAAGGCGGCUCACUGGCCCGGUACUGACGCUGAGGUGCGAAAGCGUGGGGAGCAAACAGG
RNAcentral lists this ribosomal RNA (238 nucleotides) under uncultured bacterium. RNAcentral's name for it is "partial 16S ribosomal RNA". It matches the Rfam family "Bacterial small subunit ribosomal RNA", at positions 539 to 776 of the family's 1533-position model. The record is from RNAcentral.